Molecule: long non-coding RNA, 306 nt
Organism: Esox lucius (northern pike)
Lineage: Eukaryota; Metazoa; Chordata; Actinopteri; Esociformes; Esocidae
Exons: 3
Source: RefSeq, a predicted model, not a curated record
UUUAGUAUUUCGGCAUCUACUGCUCAUGCAUGCAGCUGAGAAAUGUGUAGUUGAAAAAGAUGUAUCCACAUCACGACCAUCCCAACCCCGAAAGAUAAUGGUUCUGUGCGUCGUGAGCCUCGUGCCUGUGCAGCGCCGCUGGAAUGCAAAGAAUGUGGAGUGGACGGCGAGUGGCGAACUCUGACUGAAACGUUCGCGCGGGUUUCUCGCUGGAACGGUUUAUUUGCAUAGCAAAUGUGGCGCUAAUUACCGGGGCGAAGUCAGGUGAAAGAUCUGGACUGCAGGCUGGCCAUUUCAGUACCCGGA